CACUGCGCCGUCCUGACACCCGUGCUGCUGCUGCUGCUGCUGCCAGCAGCUGUGCGGCGCUGGCAGCAUGAAAAGCCCACUCCCCUCCCCUCACCUGUGUGUCAGUGGCUCGGUAAGUAUCAAAGGAGGGGGCGGAGCUACACGGACCGGAAUGGGCGGAGCUAAACGGACCAGGCUGCUGCAGUGCUGUACUGAGGGAGACAGUGGCUUAGAACCUGCAAUUGGAUAAGGAACAGUUCACCAAAAUCUUUGGCAGGGCAACAAGUGAUGAACAGACUGCAAUGCUUCUAGGAAAAGGGUUGCUACUGCAAGUGCCGAAAUGCUGGAAAAACUCUCCGCAAGCUACGAAUGUAUACAAAAUAUACUUGUUUUAUGUGUGUUGA
Molecule: long non-coding RNA, 383 nt
Organism: Pseudophryne corroboree (corroboree frog)
Lineage: Eukaryota; Metazoa; Chordata; Amphibia; Anura; Myobatrachidae
Exons: 3
Source: RefSeq, a predicted model, not a curated record